This 375-nucleotide ribosomal RNA is filed under the name uncultured eukaryote. Its description in RNAcentral is "partial 18S ribosomal RNA". It matches the Rfam family "Eukaryotic small subunit ribosomal RNA", at positions 592 to 976 of the family's 1831-position model. The record is from RNAcentral.
CAAUAGCGUAUAUUUAAGUUGUUGCAGUUAAAAAGCUCGUAGUUGGAUUUCGGUUAAGAGCGACCGGUCCGCCGUUUGGUGUGCACUGGUUGGUUUUAACUUCCUGUAGAGGACGUGCUCUGGGUUUAACGACCUGGACUCGGAGUCUACGUGGUUACUUUGAAAAAAUUAGAGUGUUCAAAGCGGGCUUACGCUUGAAUAUUUCAGCAUGGAAUAACACUAUAGGACUCCUGUCCUAUUUCGUUGGUCUCGGGACGGGAGUAAUGAUUAAGAGGAACAGUUGGGGGCAUACGUAUUUCAUUGUCAGAGGUGAAAUUCUUGGAUUUAUGAAAGACGAACUUCUGCGAAAGCAUUUGCCAAGGAUGUUUUCAUUAA